Molecule: long non-coding RNA, 1571 nt
Filed under: Androctonus crassicauda
Lineage: Eukaryota; Metazoa; Arthropoda; Arachnida; Scorpiones; Buthidae
Source: RNAcentral
AAGCAAUGUAAGUGAAUAAGUGAAUCUUUCAGCAAAACCUUAUGCUAAUCAAAUCAUGCAUAUUUUGAAGCAUAAAAAAUAUAUUAUUAAAAUAAUAUAAUAAGAUAUUUCUAUCGAAAUAUGUGUUUAAUGAUAAUUCAAUGUUCUCUGUUGUAGAUUCUAAAGAGCAAAACAGGCAAUUCAGCAAGAAACAAGAUUAAUAAGGAAGAUAAUAAGCAACAGGUUGAUGUUAAUUCCAAAGAUGAUAUCGCUGAAAAGAAAAAUGAACCCGUUGAACAAAUACAUAGAAAUGAAGCAUCAGGAAGUUCCAGAAGUAAUUGGAAAACUGCUACAUCUACUGCUAUUGGUACAAGAAAGCGAUACUUCUCUGAAAUUUCAUCAGUUGAAAAAGUAAUCGAUAAAAUAAGCAGAAUUGCUGGAGAAAAUAAAGCUCCAGAAAACGAGUUUGACUAUUUCUGCAGAAGUCUAGCGGUUCAAUUAAAAAAUAUGCCUCUUGAUCGCGCUCUGAUAUGCCAAGAAAAGCUCCAGUCAGUCAUGGUCGAAGAACGUUUGUAUCAGUACAGAAUGAAUCAUCUCCUUAUUCCAUCGCAACAAAAUUCAUCAUCUCAUGCCCACGCAGAACUAUCUGUUUCCUGUUCACCGUAUACUUUGACAUCAUAUUCUCCCAGUAUCAACACGUCAAAUCCUACGCUAUCGCCUGCUGUUCAGGAAGGAAGUGUAUUGUCAGAAGAGUCUUCCUUUGUAGAGUCAACAAAUAUCCCUUGAAGAAGAGAGAAAUGUGCUAUCACAAAUCGGGCUUUCUGUUAUAAAUUACUCGUCAUUAAUUUUUCAUUUUGUAUUUCUCUCAAUAAAUUCAAACUAUUUUUGUCUAUAUUUUAUUUAUUUUAAGAAUCAUUCAAUUGUUUACUUCAUAGAUAGCAGCUGAAACUUCUGAUAAAAAUUGGGAAAUGGGGCAUCUAGGUACAUGAAACAAAUCAAAACAGUCGCCUCUUGUAGGCUAGGUUAAAAGUGCCAAUUGUACAGAGCUAACGAGAAGACGUUUUCUCAUAUUUGUAUAUUUUUUAAAUUAAUGGUGUACUUUUGUAAACAAAUCAUUAAAUUUUACUUGCAUAUUCUCAGGUGAAUUUUGAACAUUUCUAGAUUUUCUGUACCCCAUUCUUUUAAUGAAUAUAUUGAAGCUCUCAUUGUAUUUUGUGGUAAGUUCCGUGCUUUAUACCCAUCAAUGCCUCUCUCCUGAUUUUCCCUCCAGUAAAUUUUAUGCAUCACUUAUCAAAUAUUCAUUAAGUCAGUUCCAACGAGAACAACUUCGCUUGACUCCAUUUUGAAAUAAAUUUAACUAUUACACUUCCGAAAAAUCAUCUAAACAAAAAUUGCUUCAUUCAAUCCAUUAAAUUCGGAUGAUUCAUACAAAAAGUUCAACCUUAGCGAACCGUGUUAACGUGCCUUUUAAGGAAAGUUUCUAGUAUUAUAGUGGCAAUUAAAUCACCCUGUAAGGUUUAUAUAUUGCUACUUGUCACGCUAAAUUUAUUAUAUACUUGUUGUUUGUAUAAAUAUCGAAUAAAAAUAUCGAG